UGCUAAUCUUUGUCGCCAGCUCCGCUUC
This 28-nucleotide small RNA is filed under the name Bombyx mori (domestic silkworm). RNAcentral describes it as "ovarian small RNA-34066". Lineage: Eukaryota; Metazoa; Arthropoda; Insecta; Lepidoptera; Bombycidae. The record is from RNAcentral.